AGCGGUAGGCCUUUCGGGGUACACGAGCGGCGAACGGGUGAGUAACACGUGGGUGAUCUGCCCUGCACUUCGGGAUAAGCCUGGGAAACUGGGUCUAAUACCGGAUAUGACCUCCGAUUGCAUGACUUGUGGUGGAAAGAUUUAUCGGUGCAGGAUGGGCCCGCGGCCUAUCAGCUUGUUGGUGGGGUAAUGGCCUACCAAGGCGACGACGGGUAGCCGACCUGAGAGGGUGACCGGCCACACUGGGACUGAGACACGGCCCAGACUCCUACGGGAGGCAGCAGUGGGGAAUAUUGCACAAUGGGCGAAAGCCUGAUGCAGCGACGCCGCGUGAGGGAUGACGGCCUUCGGGUUGUAAACCUCUUUCAGCAGGGACGAAGCGCAAGUGACGGUACCUGCAGAAGAAGCACCGGCUAACUACGUGCCAGCAGCCGCGGUAAUACGUAGGGUGCAAGCGUUGUCCGGAAUUACUGGGCGUAAAGAGUUCGUAGGCGGUUUGUCGCGUCGUUUGUGAAAACCAGCAGCUCAACUGCUGGCUUGCAGGCGAUACGGGCAGACUUGAGUACUGCAGGGGAGACUGGAAUUCCUGGUGUAGCGGUGAAAUGCGCAGAUAUCAGGAGGAACACCGGUGGCGAAGGCGGGUCUCUGGGCAGUAACUGACGCUGAGGAACGAAAGCGUGGGUAGCGAACAGGAUU
This 696-nucleotide ribosomal RNA is filed under the name Rhodococcus sp. 48AGIII. Its description in RNAcentral is "bacterial SSU rRNA". It matches the Rfam family "Bacterial small subunit ribosomal RNA", at positions 65 to 779 of the family's 1533-position model. Lineage: Bacteria; Bacillati; Actinomycetota; Actinomycetes; Mycobacteriales; Nocardiaceae. The record is from RNAcentral.